UCAUAAUCUUACGAAUCUACAACUCUCUUUACUGAACUGAGCGAGACUCUAUCCAGAUCUACAAAAUUCGACAAAGAGCCUUCUUCUAACUAGGAGAGUCAGCAAGCUACCGGAAGCGAAGCUUCUGGCUCCCCCUUUGAAUUUCCAAUUCCUCCUUUUCGUUCUACUUAGGUAGAGCAAUCCGAACUCUCGACAGAAUAUAAAAGAGGUUUUUGUUUUUAUUCCUGUGUAGACACCUCAACGAACUCAUGUGGACACUCCUAAGCCCGAGGACGAUCUCUCAAAUACACAUGUUGAUGUUGAUCCGUUUUUCUUUUCUUUGCUGAUUCCUCUCAAUGAAAUUUGCCAUGUUGCACUAAGUUACUUACGGAUGUAUGCAUGCAGUCCGGGAACACUUUGGGGUAAACACCCAUCCAAACAAGUAGAGUCAAUAGUUCAGCAUUUAGGCCGUAACAUUUAGCAACAAAAAAAUCUUUAACCCAACAAGUGCUCUCCGAACCAAGCUAGAUAGUCUCCUAUCACUAGGCUCACCAACCAACCUGGACUUUUAUUCUUCUUAUUCCUACCGGAUAUCAAAAACCAUAAGGAUUGUUUCCAGCCAUGAGUUCCCAUAUGACAUAAGCGCUCUUGAGUGGGCUGGACCAUUCCAUCAAAUCUUUGAGAAGGGGCCCAAUCUCGUAUUUGAUGGUCGGCGCGGCGAUAGACUUCGCUUCUACGACUGCCUCCCCAGCCGUUGCAAACACUGAGCGAGAACGGUAAGGGGCGCACAAAGAAUGUCGUUGCGCGGGGAUGCGAUUCGCCAAGCUGGGGCAAACAAAGCCGUCCGGCCCUACCGGAUUAGGCUUUCGAAGGAAAGGCCUUCGAAAGGAGACCCGGCAAAGAAAGAGCUAUGCUAUUGACCGACCCUUUCGUAGUGACUUCGAAUCAAUAGGCCUCUCCUUUUUUCUCAUUUUGUUUGAGGCGGGCUGAAUAGAGAAUGAAAUGCAGAAAUAGGGGAAGGGUUCCAAACCUUUUUUUGGUUUAAGGGCUACUCGCCCUACCGAAGUACCAAAGGCUUUCGAGGUUUACACCUCCCUAUUACACGACCUAAAAAAGGCUUUCAGUAGCGUCCUUAGAAUCUAAGCCUUUUGAAGCGCCAGUAGUUGUAGCUGUGGGUAGGGCUUUCGUUCUUAUCGCUCCGGGUUUCGAUCUAUAUGACCUCCGGGCAGUACAAAGUACACCUCUUCCGUAGAGGCAGGUAGUAACCUAACCUUUAAGAGUCUGUUCAAGGGAGGAGCCCUCUUAUCUAUCAAUGGAAAGAUCUCCGUGCGUGGCGUGAUAAGGAAUCCUAGAAAAGAUCGACUGAGACUCCCUCCCCGGUCCCACGAAGAUCUCUACAUACUUGUCUGUUCAGCCCAGGACAACUGAGAUCUUCUGGUCUGCGUGCGUGGGAGCAGCUCAAACAAAGAAGAGUCUGGUCUGGUCUGAAUUCAGGCCCGGCCCGCCCGUCUGCAGCUAGGUUCGGGAAUGGCGCCAGGCGAGGACGCCGCUAUACCCCUUAAUGAAUCGAAUGGUCCUUCGACCUUCAUUUGAUUCCGACGGCCGGCAUAGAUCUCAUGAGACCCGCCCACUAUUACUACGAAAAAAGCCCUGCCCUUUUCCUUCGCUACUAGGGAGAGUAAGCAACCUCUAUUAGCGCCGGACCGAAUUGAUCGUGUCAUGUGCAACGUCCAUCAAUGAUGGUUCAUUAAUGUCCAUUGAUUUAGACUCCUUCCCCCUUCCCAACUACGAAUAAGAUCGAGAGGAGCCCGAAAGAAAGCCCCCAAACCAAGAACGGAAACGGAAGCCUUUCUAUUCACUCCCCAUUCUCUCUUAAAUAAAGCUCGCCCUCGAGCCCUGGGCAGGUCGGCCGGGUCUUUCCUUUCCCUGUUGUUCUGUUUCCGCCACGAGAAAGACGCACGGAAGAGGUAUGCCCAGUGCGCGGAGGAUCCGUUGAGAGUUUCUGUUGUCUCGGUAGGGAACUGUACGAUCUUUUCCCCUAUUGUAUUGAAUCAAUAAAAAAAGAGGUCAGUGCUACGGCUCCCUAUUGUUUGAUCCAAUAUUGACCGGGGAUGAGCCCCGACUUCCCUAGGUCCUUGCUUUGACCUCCCGUAGUGGUCCUUGCUUUUAAUAAAGUGGAGCGGGGCCAAUUUCUCGUACUUGCUCAGUGUGCCCCCCUUUCGUCGAGUGCCCCGCCCGGUUCACUGGGCUGUUGGCCUACCAAGCACUUGCCCGCUGCUCUUGCCGCCCGCUUGACGGGCGGAGCGCUCGUUAUCCUUACUGUUCUCUCUGCUGGGGCCACCUAUUGCUCUAGCCAUAAGCUAUGGCAGCUCCAGCUCGCAACCACAGGGGCCCGCCCUGCGAGGCCAGAGUGGGCUCAGCGGUCAGCCCCUAUUCGAAUUACGUUAGGGGGUCUUUCGCUUUUGCCAGAUCUAGAGAGAUACUACGAGUCCUCCGUCCCAGAUUCCAUCGCCGCGGCCAUCUGGUUCACCGGUACUACCAAAAAGUCUCAUGCUUACGUUACUGUUACUGAUGUUUUAAUUAUCUUGGACCACGAAGACCCCAGUCGUGCUUCUGGUUUCCAUUCCCAUCAUCAUAUUGAUGAUAAAUCUCCUCGUGCUCUGCCAUAAGAACUUGGAGUCCGUAUCAUGGUGAAGGUAAGGUAACGCUGUGAUUCUUGCUCAAAAAACAGACCGAACGCGUUCGAGUUAUUGGCUCGUCCGACCCGGCAGCAUUCAUGAGUCGCUCGUUCAACUGUCCCUCGGAGACACGGUCGAGAAGUACCAUGCAUGGUUGCCCCCCGUCCUUUCUUUCUCUCGGUCCCACCCAACAAGAUACGGCUCAGACAAAAAACGUGAGCGCCCCUCCGCAAGCCUUAUUUUUUUAGUAAAGUCAAGCUUUGGCUCCCUAAAGACUAAAGAAAUGGAUCAAAAAAAGGGGGGACUUCCGCAACGGGCUAUGCCACCCAAACCAACUGAGGGAAGUCGCAUCCGUCCCAUCGCAAGCACCUACAAUGUCAUGAUCACAUUGGUUUACCCUUUUUUCUUUGGUAGUUCAACGGACGGUCGCCCCUCCAACAAGAAAAGGUAUAAAUAUGAAAACUUCUCUGCCAUUUAAAUCGGAGAAUUUAUGGAGGAAAUCGGGUUUUAAAUUUCCAGAAACCACACGAUUAUAUAGCCAAAGGGAAUAGGCCGCGCCUAAAAUCAUCCCAAGCGCUGCUAAUGUGGCUACUAAGCUAUUUUUUUUGGAAAGCUCCUACUAAGAUGAGAAAUUCCCCAAUAAAGCUGCUAGUACCAGGUAAACUCAUAUUGGCCAAAGUAAAAGAGAAGAAAAUGGUAGAGAAAUUCGGCAUGGUGCUCACUAAACCUCCGUAAUAUCUAACAAGUCGAGUCUUAUGUCGGUCAUAUAGAACACCAACACAUAGAAAAAGGGCUGAAGAAACCAGUCCAUGACUUAACAUCAGUAGAAUGCUACCUCCAAUUCCCUGUAUGUUCGAUAGAGCCAAAGAUUCCCCCCCCCACUGAUCAGAGUACGCCGAUUACCCCCCGAACCGUACAAGAUAGUUACCAUCUAUCAUACGGCUUUCUAACUUCACUUAUUUUUUUGGUCGUUCCGCUCUGUCGAUCGAUGGUAGUAUAAGAGAUCUGUAACCCCCCGAAGUUAUUUACAUAAUGGUUCCUGCUUCCUACCCAUAGUUAGCAUGUAUCUCCCCGGGUCAUACUUGAGUAUCACAUCGUAGAUCCCCACCCCAACUCUAUCUUCCUUAUCAGUGAACCGGAACAUAGUGCAUAGGUACUCUUCAAUGCAGCGGGGACGAGACGACGUGAUAUACUACGAUCACGUACAGAAGUGCUGCCCUUCGGCUCGGCAAUAUGGAACCUCUCAACAGCUCUCGUUCCUUUAUGAGGUCCUAUCGGGAUAGGUAGGCCCAAGCCUUUCCCUUCCCCCCGACCGAGCAGUAGUUCCCCACGGCUGACAAAUAGGAGUUUAGGCCGUAAAAGAAAGGGACCGGCCCCCAUUCUCUCCCCCCCCCCACUGGGAUUUUGCUUUCCUUAUCUACGUGCGCACUGCGUCAGCACUGGCGAAAAAGAGGUCGGCUUUACUGAAGAAGAAGGGGCGGGGCCUUCGGGUGUCAUAUUUUGGCCGAGUUUACCGUACUUCCGGCCCCGACCGUAAUAUUUUUUUGUUACGUUCCACCGCUGUUACGCCAGAAAUUAGAGGUUCCACACGAGCUCUCGUUCUGCGGCGUGAUGGCAGGACCGAUAGGAGAUUGGCUCCGGGUGUAGAUAGGGUAAAAUUUUCAGGGGUUAUGAAAAUACAUAGGCCCCUUCCCUUCUCUUUUGGAUGAAUGGGGUGGUUUAGAAGGCGCUUUCCGAUCUACGGUCCCUCGGAGCGAAGGGUUAGGCAGGUAGUAUGGGCCCUCUGACUUCCAGCUAUGUGCUGUGCGGCUCCCGCGAAGCGAAUGAAGGGAAGCUCUUCGAGCUUUCUCCGCCAGCAUGGUCGGCCUUAUAAAGCUCCCUAAGCAAAGCCCCCUUCCCUUAUUAAAUGAAGUCAAAAGUCUUCACUUAGUAGUAGGCAUUCUAUAAGCGACUUGUCGAGUCUACGAAGCUUUGCUUCUUGUGGUCGGCCCGUAAUGCCUC
This 4658-nucleotide unclassified non-coding RNA is filed under the name Hevea brasiliensis (rubber tree). Lineage: Eukaryota; Viridiplantae; Streptophyta; Magnoliopsida; Malpighiales; Euphorbiaceae. The record is from RNAcentral.